Molecule: ribosomal RNA, 1374 nt
Filed under: uncultured bacterium
Lineage: Bacteria
Description: bacterial SSU rRNA
Rfam family: Bacterial small subunit ribosomal RNA
Source: RNAcentral
AGAGUUUGAUCCUGGCUCAGGACGAACGCUGGCGGCGCGCCUAACACAUGCAAGUCGAACGGAGCUUAGAGAGCUUGCUUUUUAAGCUUAGUGGCGAACGGGUGAGUAACGCGUGAGUAACCUGCCCUAGAGUGGGGGACAACAGUUGGAAACGACUGCUAAUACCGCAUAAGCCCACGGUACCGCAUGGUACUGAGGGAAAAGGAUUUAUUCGCUUUAGGAUGGACUCGCGUCCAAUUAGCUAGUUGGUGAGGUAACGGCCCACCAAGGCGACGAUUGGUAGCCGGACUGAGAGGUUGAACGGCCACAUUGGGACUGAGACACGGCCCAGACUCCUACGGGAGGCAGCAGUGGGGGAUAUUGCACAAUGGGGGAAACCCUGAUGCAGCGACGCCGCGUGGAGGAAGAAGGUUUUCGGAUUGUAAACUCCUGUCGUUAGGGACGAUAAUGACGGUACCUAACAAGAAAGCACCGGCUAACUACGUGCCAGCAGCCGCGGUAAAACGUAGGGUGCAAGCGUUGUCCGGAAUUACUGGGUGUAAAGGGAGCGCAGGCGGGAAGACAAGUUGGAAGUGAAAACCAUGGGCUCAACCCAUGAAUUGCUUUCAAAACUGUUUUUCUUGAGUAGUGCAAGAGGUAGAUGGAAUUCCCGGUGUAGCGGGUGGAAUGCGUAGAUAUCGGGAGGAACACCAGUGGCGAAGGCGGUCUACUGGGCACCAACUGACGCUGAGGCUCGAAAGCAUGGGUAGCAAACAGGAUUAGAUACCCUGGUAGUCCAUGCCGUAAACGAUGAUUACUAGGUGUUGGGGGAUUGACCCCCUCAGUGCCGCAGUUAACACAAUAAGUAAUCCACCUGGGGAGUACGACCGCAAGGUUGAAACUCAAAGGAAUUGACGGGGGCCCGCACAAGCAGUGGAGUAUGUGGUUUAAUUCGAAGCAACGCGAAGAACCUUACCAGGUCUUGACAUCCGAUGCAUAACACAGAGAUGUGUGAAAUCCUUCGGGACAUCGAGACAGGUGGUGCAUGGUUGUCGUCAGCUCGUGUCGUGAGAUGUUGGGUUAAGUCCCGCAACGAGCGCAACCCUUAUUGCCAGUUACUACGUUAAGAGGACUCUGGCGAGACUGCCGUUGACAAAACGGAGGAAGGUGGGGAUGACGUCAAAUCAUCAUGCCCUUUAUGACCUGGGCUACACACGUACUACAAUGGCGUUAAACAAAGAGAAGCAAGACCGCGAGGUGGAGCAAAACUCAAAAACAACGUCUCAGUUCAGAUUGCAGGCUGCAACUCGCCUGCAUGAAGUCGGAAUUGCUAGUAAUCGCGGAUCAGCAUGCCGCGGUGAAUACGUUCCCGGGCCUUGCACUCACCGCCCGUCA